RNAcentral lists this unclassified non-coding RNA (319 nucleotides) under uncultured fungus. Its description in RNAcentral is "partial contains 5.8S rRNA and ITS2". The stretch from base 1 to 52 matches the Rfam family "5.8S ribosomal RNA", at positions 103 to 154 of the family's 154-position model. The record is from RNAcentral. Lineage: Eukaryota; Fungi.
AACGCAUCUUGCGCUCCUUGGUAUUCCGAGGAGCAUGCCUGUUUGAGUGUCAUUAAAUUCUCAACCUUGAGCUCUUUUGCUUCAAGGCUUGGAUGUGGGGGUUUUGUUUGCAGGUCUUCACAGAUCUGCUCCCCUGAAAUGCAUUAGUGGUGCCUCUGUAGUGUGAGCGGCUAUUGGUGUGAUAACUAUCUACGCCAUUAGACGGCCUACGUCUCUUGAAUGAGAAAAGGGGAUCAGACUGCUUAUAACCGUCCAUUGCAUGGACAAAUAAACAUGACAAUUUGGCCUCAAAUCAGGUAGGACUACCCGCUGAACUUAA